This is a non-coding RNA of Oryza sativa Japonica Group (Japanese rice), 3350 nucleotides long. The record is from RefSeq and is a predicted model, not a curated record. Lineage: Eukaryota; Viridiplantae; Streptophyta; Magnoliopsida; Poales; Poaceae.
AUAUAUGCUGACUUGGUUUUUGCUCCCAAGUGUUAUCACCAGACUGCAACCUCUCAACCUCCUUACUCUAACCAUGGCAAUCAAGAGGACAUGGCAACUUUGGUUGCUCUCUCUUCUCACACAUGCCAUCCUAUUGUUCACAGCCAGCUCUCAGUCCAUCAAUGGAGAUGACCUCUCAGCACUCCUGUCAUUCAAAUCCCUCAUAAGGAACGACCCAAGAGAGGUGCUGUCCUCGUGGGACACCAGCAGCAACACUACCAACAUGACAGCACCUGUCUUCUGCCGAUGGACCGGCAUUUCCUGCAACGAUCGCCGGCAUCCAGGUCGUGUUACCACCCUCAAUCUGAGCGAUGCCGGCCUAGUCGGCACCAUAUCCCAGCAGCUUGGAAACCUGACCCACCUCCGUGUCCUUGAUCUGUCAACCAACAGUCUUGAUGGAGAUAUCCCAAUCAGCCUUGGCGGUUGCCCAAAGCUUCAUGCCAUGAACUUGAGCAUGAACCAUCUGUCAGGUAACAUCCCUGCUGAUCUUGGACAGUUAUCAAAGCUUGUGGUUUUCAGUGUCGGCCACAACAAUCUUACCGGUGAUAUUCCCCAAGUCACUCUCCAACGUCAAGAGGAACUUCAUCCAUGGCCAAGAUUUGAGUUGGAUGGGCAACCUCACAUCAUUGAGAGACUUUAUUCUUGAAGGCAACAUUUUCACUGGUAACAUCCCUGAAACUUUUGGUAAGAUACUUAACCUUACUUACUUCAGUGUCCAAAAUAAUCAAUUGGAAGGCCAUGUUCCUCUAUCAAUCUUCAAUAUUUCUUCCAUAAGAAUCUUGGAUCUUGGCUUCAAUAGACUGUCAGGAUCACAUCCACUCGAUAUCGGCAUUAAACUUCCUAGGAUAAGUCGUUUUAACACAAUUAAUAACCGUUUCGAGGGUAUAAUACCACCCACCUUGUCAAAUGCAUCUGCACUUGAAGUAUUGCUUCUUCAUGGAAACAACUACCAUGGCAUUAUUCCUAGGGAAAUUGGCAUCCAUGGUAACCUGAAGGUAUUUGUGUUAGGAUACAACGCGCUCCAAGCCACACGAUCUAGUGAUUGGGAAUUUAUGACAUCACUGACCAACUGUAGCAGCUUAACAAGGCUAGAUGUUGCACACAAAAACCUCGUUGGUGAAAUGCCAAUUAACAUUGCCAACCUGAGCAAAGAGCUCAUAGGGAUUUACCUAAGUGAAAACCAAAUAACUGGGACCAUACCUGAAGAUUUAUGGAAGCUCAAUAAACUUACUUCUCUCAACCUGUCCUGCAACCUCUUCACAGGAACCUUACCUCCUGAUAUUGGCCGCCUUCCAAUAAUCAAUUCUAUCUUUAUGUCACAUAAUAGAAUCACUGGGCAGAUUCCACAACCAUUAGGCAAUAUCUCACAGUUGAUCUUUCUAUCUCUGUCUAAUAAUCUUCUGGAUGGCAGCAUUCCAAUUAGCCUUGGGAACCUCACAAAACUUAAUCUCUUGGAUCUUUCCAGUAAUGCCUUGAUGGGCCAAAUCCCACAAGAGAUACUUACAAUACCUUCCCUUACCUUACUUCUCAGCCUCUCCAACAAUGCUCUAAGUGGCUCCAUUCCAACACAGAUUGGGCACUUGAACAACCUCAUCAAAAUGGACCUCUCAAUGAAUAAGCUAUCUGGUGAAAUCCCAAAAGCUAUUGGCAGCUGUGUCCAAUUGAGUUUCCUAAAUUUUUAUAGAAACCUUCUCCAAGGACAAAUCCCAGAAAGCCUGAACAAUUUGAGGAGCCUUGAAACCCUUGAUCUGUCUAACAACAACUUGGCAGGUCCUGUACCUUUAUUUCUUGCAAACUUCACGCUCCUAACUAAUCUAAACCUCUCCUUCAACAAACUGUCAGGUCCUGUUCCAAAUAUAGGGAUUUUUUGUAAUGCCACUAUAGUGUCAAUCUCAGGUAAUAGAAUGCUAUGAGGUGGCCCUCCAUACUUGCAGUUCCCUUCAUGCUCAUCUGAAGAUUCUAACCAUGCUUCAGUGCAUCGACUACAUGUCUUAAUCUUUUGCAUUGCUGGAACGUUGAUUUUCUCUUUGUUUUGUAUGACUGCAUAUUGCUUCAUUAAGACAAGGAUGAAACCUAACAUCGUUGAUAAUGAAAACCCAUUUCUUUAUGAGACGAAUGAGAGGAUAUCUUAUGCCGAACUACAAGCAGCAACCGAGUCAUUCUCACCGGCAAAUUUGAUUGGUUCUGGAAGCUUCGGCAAUGUAUACAUUGGAAAUCUAAUUAUUGAUCAGAAUCUAGUGCCUGUUGCAAUCAAAGUUCUUAAUCUUGACCAAAGAGGAGCCAGCAGAAGUUUCCUGAGCGAGUGUGAUGCUCUUAGGAGAAUUCGACACCGGAAACUUGUCAAGGUGAUCACUGUCUGCAGUGGCUUAGACCAAAAUGGUGAUGAAUUCAAGGCACUUGUCCUAGAAUUCAUUUGCAAUGGAAGUUUGGAUGAGUGGCUGCAUGCAACAAGUACAACAACCAGCACAAGCUACAGAAAGCUAAAUAUGGUGGAAAGGCUGCAUAUUGCUGUUGAUGUUGCAGAGGCAUUGGAAUAUCUUCACCAUCAUAUUGUGCCGCCGAUAGUUCACUGUGAUAUUAAACCAGGCAACAUUCUUCUAGAUGACGACAUGGUGGCACAUGUUACCGACUUUGGUCUAGCAAAGAUAAUGCAUUCUGAACCACGCAUACAAAGCAGCUCAUUAGUAAUUAAAGGAACAAUUGGAUAUGUCCCACCAGAAUAUGGAGCGGGAUCUCAAGUAUCCAUGGAUGGUGACAUAUAUAGCUACGGGGUGUUGUUACUGGAAAUAUUUACUGGAAGAAGACCAACUGACAAUUUUAUCAAUGGUAUAACAAGUCUUGUUGACUAUGUUAAGAUGGCCUAUCCUAACAAUCUACUGGAAAUAUUGGAUGCUAGCGCAACCUACAAUGGAAACACUCAAGAAUUGGUAGAACUAGUUAUUUAUCCUAUAUUUCGACUUGGUCUAGGAUGCUGCAAGGAAUCACCAAGGGAAAGAAUGAAGAUGGAUGAUGUAGUCAAAGAAUUGAUUGCUAUAAAGAAGGCAUGCACAGCUAUGCCUAAAUGAAAUUCGAGCAACCAAGUAAUCUGGGUAAGCAAUUAUAUGUAACUAAAUUUGGUUAUGUCUGCUCAAAAAGUUGUCACAGAAGUAUGCUUUUGGUGUAUCUGAAGUCCAUUAUAUUGUUGUCACUACUGUUUAUUUCAUUUUCAUCUUGUAUUUCUUUGUAUCCCUUUUGUUUCUGUAUUUUGGGGGUGCUAUCUAUAUAUGGUUUUAAAGAGUAAACUCCAUGAAUUUGAGCCACUGUUUAACGUA